RNAcentral lists this ribosomal RNA (461 nucleotides) under uncultured bacterium. Its description in RNAcentral is "bacterial SSU rRNA". It matches the Rfam family "Bacterial small subunit ribosomal RNA", at positions 329 to 803 of the family's 1533-position model. The record is from RNAcentral.
UGGCUAACUCCUACGGGAGGCAGCAGUGGGGAAUAUUGCACAAUGGGCGAAAGCCUGAUGCAGCAACGCCGCGUGAGGGAUGACGGCCUUCGGGUUGUAAACCUCUUUUAGUAGGGAAGAAGCGAAAGUGACGGUACCUGCAGAAAAAGCACCGGCUAACUACGUGCCAGCAGCCGCGGUAAUACGUAGGGUGCAAGCGUUGUCCGGAAUUAUUGGGCGUAAAGAGCUCGUAGGCGGUUUGUCGCGUCUGCUGUGAAAUCUGGGGGCUCAACCCCCAGCCUGCAGUGGGUACGGGCAGACUAGAGUGCGGUAGGGGAGAUUGGAAUUCCUGGUGUAGCGGUGGAAUGCGCAGAUAUCAGGAGGAACACCGAUGGCGAAGGCAGAUCUCUGGGCCGUAACUGACGCUGAGGAGCGAAAGCAUGGGGAGCGAACAGGAUUAGAAACCCCGGUAGUCCAGCUGG